This 229-nucleotide long non-coding RNA is filed under the name Fukomys damarensis (Damara mole-rat). RNAcentral's name for it is "lncRNA (ENSFDAG00000029436.1)". The record is from RNAcentral. Lineage: Eukaryota; Metazoa; Chordata; Mammalia; Rodentia; Bathyergidae.
CUCCAUAGUGGGACAGAUGGCCUCUGGGGUUCCUGAAGUCACAAUGAAGAUGCCUUGAACCAUGUGGGGAGUUUGGGUGAUGCACUGAGCCCUUGGAACUGUCAGGAGAAAGAGUGAAGUUUUGGGAGGAAGUCAACUCUGCUGUCCUUGGUAGAGACACUUCCGCUUCUGGUAACGAUGAAAGAGUGGAACUUGCUUGGUCAAUGACUGAAAAAGUUUAAUCAACGGG